GGCAGGGGGCUGGGAUAAGGGGUUUCAGGGGAGGGUUCAUGGGGGCACCUGAGUGCUGGAACUCAUCACCAUCCCCACCUUGAUGGAGCAGGGUGUCAUCUCCUCCCUCGAGAUGAUCUUCAGUUACCUGGAGCUGCUGCAUGGUGAGAUGGAUUUUUAUGUGGAGGGCAAUGUGCUCAGCUGUCGGAAUGAGAGUUCAAUAUACAGAGCUGGGGAUCCUGUGGCGUUGGUGGGUGGGGGAAGGGCUGGCAUCAAGGACCCCUUCCUGGUAGAGGAUCUAUUUCGGGCCAACUGUGAGAACAGGCACGUCCUGACUGGAAUUGCAGGGAAGGAGGGUUCCCAAGUUGGCAAAGGCCCCAGACUGGCUCCAUGUCCCCCCUACACCCCCUCCAAGAGCCCUGCAGGGUCCCCCACCCAGGCCAUAUCUCCAUCUUGUCCUUUCUCUGUCCCAGGAAUUCAAAUUCAUCAAGGACAUCAAGCUGGUACAGAAGGCUGCAAAUCUGUACACCAUGCAGCCCGAUGAGCACUUUGGGGCCUGGUUGCAGGCUGUGGAGCCCCUGAGCGAGGAGGUGAGCUACAGCCUGUCCUGUCUGCUGGAGCCAUGAUACCAGUGGACCAGAAAGAUUCCACUCUUAUUCAAAGACAAGAAGAGCCACUCAUCUUCCUGCCCAGGGCUGAACACCAGGCCCCCAAAAAAGAGCCCAGUGGUGGUGGCAGAUGACGCUCCUUAGACCAGCUGAACUACAUCAGGGACAAAGCGGGGACACUCAGGUGCACGGGGCCACCUCUCAGAUGCUGAUAUGAAUGAAAACUUUGUGAUCCAUUUCCUGGGGUCCCUGAAGACCACAAGGGAGUGGACGACCACCCCCAUCUCCCUGACACAUUUUCCCCAGCGCCUAUUUCCCUCUUUGGAGGGGCCAUGUUCUUGUUGUCAAUGAUAAAUGCUAAGUUUGGGUAUUCUGUUAAAUUUCUGUUUUUUUGUCAGCCUGGGAGUGGAUGUGUGGUUCUUUCACUCUCUGUGCUCAUGGAAAUGAGAUCCAGAAUCUCACAUUCCUCCUUGAAUUCAGAAACCUCGCAGAGUCCUCAGCUCAGGGCAUGUGGUGAAGGGAGAAGUGCCAGUGCCAUCCCUGGCUGCUGAAGGACAGUCCCGUGUCCCCCUCACUCAGAGGACAGGAUCAUUGCAGUGUGGUUCACCUGGUCCUGGAGCAGAAGCGGCC
RNAcentral lists this long non-coding RNA (1217 nucleotides) under Equus caballus (horse). Its description in RNAcentral is "lncRNA (ENSECAG00000047477.1)". The record is from RNAcentral. Lineage: Eukaryota; Metazoa; Chordata; Mammalia; Perissodactyla; Equidae.